CCUACGGGUGGCAGCAGUGGGGAAUAUUGCACAAUGGGGGAAACCCUGAUGCAGCGACGCCGCGUGAGUGAAGAAGGAUUUCGGGAUGUAAAGCACUAUCAGCAGGGAAGAAAAUGACGGUACCAGAAUAAGAAGCCCCGGCCAACUACGGGCCAGCAGCCGCGGUAAUACGUAGGGGGAAAGCGUUAGUCGGAUUGACUGGGGGUAAAGGGAGCGUAGACGGUAGCACAAGUCGGGAGUGAAAUCCCGGGGCUUAACCCCGGAACUGCUUUGGAUACUGUGCAGCUGGAGUGCAGGAGAGGUAAGUGGAAUUCCUAGUGUAGCGGUGAAAUGCGUAGAUAUUAGGAGGAACACCAGUGGCGAAGGCGGCUUACUGGACUGUAACUGACGUUGAGGCUCGAAAGCGUGGGGAGCAAACAGGAUUAGAUACCCGGGUAGUC
RNAcentral lists this ribosomal RNA (440 nucleotides) under uncultured bacterium. Its description in RNAcentral is "partial 16S ribosomal RNA". It matches the Rfam family "Bacterial small subunit ribosomal RNA", at positions 338 to 795 of the family's 1533-position model. The record is from RNAcentral.